Molecule: ribosomal RNA, 442 nt
Filed under: uncultured bacterium
Lineage: Bacteria
Description: partial 16S ribosomal RNA
Rfam family: Bacterial small subunit ribosomal RNA
Source: RNAcentral
CCUACGGGUGGCAGCAGUGGGGAAUAUUGGGCAAUGGACGCAAGUCUGACCCAGCAACGCCGCGUGAAGGAAGAAGGAUCUCGGGAUGUAAACUUCUAUUAAGGGGGAAGAGAAGAAGACGGUACCACUUGAAUAAGCCACGGCUAACUACGUGCCAGCAGCCGGGGUAAUACGUAGGUGGCAAGCGUUGUCCGGAUUUACUGGGUGUAAAGGGCGUGCAGGCGGGGAGACAAGUCAGAUGUGAAAUCCACGGGCUUAACCCGUGAACUGCAUUUGACACUGUUUCCCUUGAGUGUCGGAGAGGUAAGCGGAAUUCCUAGUGUAGCGGUGAAAUGCGUAGAUAUUAGGAAGAACACCAGUGGCGAAGGCGGAUUACUGGACUAUAACUGACGUUGAGGCGCGAAAGCGUGGGGAGCAAACAGGAUUAGAUACCCUUGUAGUC